This 423-nucleotide ribosomal RNA is filed under the name uncultured bacterium. RNAcentral describes it as "bacterial SSU rRNA". It matches the Rfam family "Bacterial small subunit ribosomal RNA", at positions 202 to 622 of the family's 1533-position model. The record is from RNAcentral.
AAGGCCUUGCGCGAUUGGAGCGGCCGAUGUCGGAUUAGCUUGUUGGCGGGGUAAAAGCCCACCAAGGCGACGAUCCGUAGCUGGUUUGAGAGAACGACCAGCCACACUGGGACUGAGACACGGCCCAGACUCCUACGGGAGGCAGCAGUGGGGAAUUUUGGACAAUGGGGGCAACCCUGAUCCAGCCAUGCCGCGUGUGUGAAGAAGGCCUUCGGGUUGUAAAGCACUUUCGGACGGAACGAAAUCGCACGGGCGAAUAUCCCGUGUGGAUGACGGUACUGUAAGAAGAAGCACCGGCUAACUACGUGCCAGCAGCCGCGGUAAUACGUAGGGUGCGAGCGUUAAUCGGAAUUACUGGGCGUAAAGCGUGCGCAGGCGGCUUCGCAAGUCAGACGUGAAAUCCCCGGGCUUAACCUGGGAAUG